Lucilia sericata (common green bottle fly) is the source of this 525-nucleotide long non-coding RNA. RefSeq lists it as uncharacterized. Lineage: Eukaryota; Metazoa; Arthropoda; Insecta; Diptera; Calliphoridae. The transcript has 3 exons. The record is from RefSeq and is a predicted model, not a curated record.
GUUAACUGUUCGUCCGAAGAGAGGUGCUGCUUUUAGCGCAUAGACUUAAUUAAAAAUCUAAAAUAUUAAACUAAUUUAAAGAAAGAAGAAAAAACGUUAAAACAAUUUACCAUAUAAAUACAAAACUAAUCCUGCUUAAAAGCGGAUCUUAAAUAAUAUUUUGUUUUAUUUGAAAUUAUAACGAAAGAGAAUAAAUAGAAAACAUAGAAAAAACGUGCCAUUAACGUAACGGAUUUUUUGCAACAAAUUCAAAUAUUUUAACGGAUUAAUUAUUGCAAAUUUUGAAAAUAAAAACGGAAUAAAAACUUAGCACAGUUAAAAAAAUUGUGUGUGCAUUUUAUUUAUGUUCAUCCAAAACUUCGGACGUUACGGUAUAAAUUAAGGAUCUUUAAAACUAUCUCCCUAUCUACUUUUUUUCACACACCCCCCUCUUAAAACCACAACACACAUACACACACAAUGGGACGACAACAUAGGCAUAGAUCAAAUUGGCUGGCGUUAUUUUGUUUAGUGUUAACCCUAAAA